Non-coding RNA from Gossypium hirsutum (cotton), 145 nucleotides. The record is from Rfam. Lineage: Eukaryota; Viridiplantae; Streptophyta; Magnoliopsida; Malvales; Malvaceae.
UGUUAAAAAUUUUAUCAAUUUCUACAGUUAAAAACUAGUUUGACUGACAAAAUAAUCAAACAGAUACAAUUAUUGUAUCAUGUGUAUCUCAUUUAGACGUAUAAGGACUCGCUUUUAACAGUAGAAAUGGAUGAAGACUUCGACA